Molecule: long non-coding RNA, 1064 nt
Filed under: Aquila chrysaetos chrysaetos
Lineage: Eukaryota; Metazoa; Chordata; Aves; Accipitriformes; Accipitridae
Description: lncRNA (ENSACCG00020004853.1)
Source: RNAcentral
ACUAAGUUCAUCAAGAAUUUCAUAAUCCUCUGACCCUUUGGCUGUGACCAGUCUGCUCCCAAUCUCAAACUCCAGUUUUCAUCAAAUUCCAGAUUUCAUCACAUCCAGUGAUGAAAAAACAUUCUUCUCAACCUUUUAAAAUACUCUGAGUGUUUGGAUCUACCUAAGCUUAAGGGCGUUACUCUGUGGGGAGUUACUGGACCUCUGUGUUCCAGGAAAGUAGCAUACUUCAGUCCUCAGGGAUAGUAGGCUCGGGCCAGGCUGCAGCAUUCUCACAAGAACUAAGGUGAUGUUUGGACAUUGUAAGUAAAAGAUGCAGAGGCUGUGAUGAGAUGAAUGAGUAACAAUGUCAUGGCAGGGAAAAAGAAUUAAACAUUUGAUGAAAAGGAAGCUGCCUGUGGAAAAGCUGAGGUUCUGUUGACCAGUAUACAGAACUUGAUGCUAAAGAAAAUUAGAACUCCAUGACCAUUGGACAUAUGACUUCAAAAAAGAGAAGAAAAAGAACCUCAGAAAUGGAUAUGGACAAGAAGCUUAUUGAAGAGGGGUGCACAGAGGAGUCAGGGGGCGUACUUGGAUGGAAGUUAGGAGUACUUCAUGAACCCGAAGACAGCUGGAAAGGCAAAGGAAGCUCAGUGACCUUGGCUGAGAAGGAGCAGAUGAUGAUUAGAAGAAAGAAAAGAAAGAAAAGGGUAGAUCUUUUUCAUAGGUCUCUUUGGCCUUUGUGACACAACACACUGGAGAAAAGACACACUUGAAUAGUUUACCUUGAAGACCGAGCAUCCUGAUUUAGCAAAUGCAGGCACUGCAAAGCAGUAUGGAACAAAACACCCAGUCAUUUCACUGCAGCAGCCACUGUGCUUCAUAGAUAGCUCUGCGGAGCAGGGCUCAUCCCAUAUACCUUCUUUCUUUACCUCCUACCUGCCCAAGAGCCAGCACAGAUUGCCACAGUGUUAAUUGCAGCCAACUCCAGUGGAAAAUAAGGGCAUAUGACGAGAGUGGACAUAUGUUAAUGACUCAUGCACCCUGCACUUCUUAUUUGUCAUUUUAUAUGUUGUUUGUUAUGG